UGAGGCAGAGUGUUAGAAAGAAGCUUGUGCAUGGACUGACGACUGCGGGGCUGUGCAAACUACCUGGGGGAGUCACUUUGCCACUUCUUGAGGGCUUCCAAGUGGCAGAUUGGGGUGCUUGCUUGGGUUUCCAAAUCUUGUAACAUUUGCAGAAGCAGCAUCAUUAAAUCUGAGCUAGGAGUAUGCAUCUGAACUGCCUGCUGGUCCAAGAAGGCAUUCCUCUAGAAAAGUACAGAAGAUCACUUUCGGAACAUGAAUGAGCAGAUGUUGUGUGAAGAAGUGGACCAAGAAUGUUGACCUCACCUCUUCCUUUGAGACAAAGGAACAACCAAUGCAACUGACUGGAAUCUGAAGAAGGCCAUCUGAAAUACUCAAGAUUUUUUUUUUAUGAUAUGUGAUUAUAUAUGGGCUUCCAUGCAAGUAUUGACUGCACAAUUCACUUCGUUGUAAGGGUCUGUUCCAAAAGACGUGCAGAACCCAGUGCAAAACACUGUGUGCACAUCAGAGCUCUGUAUCCUUAACCCAAACUAAGGUCACUAGCAGCCUGCAAGCUUCAUUCGGGUGGUCUGUGAAGAACAGCAGGAGCAGCAACUGCAGGGGGCAGGCACAUUCAUUCUGAUCUUUAGUUUUCUCUUUAUUGCUUCUUUUGCUUCUUAGGUUCUUAAUGUGAUUUAUUAUUGUAUUUUACAUUGUAUUUUAUGGAAUUCAAAUUGUAAUGCAGUGAGAUGGAAUGUAAGAAGUAAAAUAAGCAAUAAACAGACAAUUAAAAAUCAUAUAACAUCUAGCACAUCAUGUUACAGUCCAUGGCACGGGCACUACCCCAUCUUGGGGGUUGACCAAACCAAGUUGAGUACCUGGAUUCCUUUAAUGGAAUACCUUUCACAUAGGGAUGGCGAGACCGU
Podarcis muralis (Common wall lizard) is the source of this 902-nucleotide long non-coding RNA. RefSeq lists it as uncharacterized. Lineage: Eukaryota; Metazoa; Chordata; Lepidosauria; Squamata; Lacertidae. The record is from RefSeq and is a predicted model, not a curated record.